Molecule: long non-coding RNA, 274 nt
Filed under: Elaeis guineensis (African oil palm)
Lineage: Eukaryota; Viridiplantae; Streptophyta; Magnoliopsida; Arecales; Arecaceae
Description: long non-coding RNA (EGUI_LNC074831)
Source: RNAcentral
GAAAGAAGAGAGAGGCAAAAAAUUUUUGUUAGAUAUAUGCAUUAGAAGUCAAAUUUGUCUGACACAUAUCUUUUUUUAAGAUAUAUUUUAUACUUGAUGGACAGUCUUUAUAACCAAUCAUAUCUUAUGUAUCCAUAAUUUAUCCUAAAAAUUAACAAAGAUGAUUUUGUAUAUUCUCAAGGUAUUAAGAAUUUGAGGCAUAAAUUAUUAGUGAUUAAUUUUUAAAUACUUUCGAUCGAAGGAUCGUCAUGGAGGACAGUAAUCAAUUCAUUCG